Molecule: long non-coding RNA, 1735 nt
Organism: Danio aesculapii
Lineage: Eukaryota; Metazoa; Chordata; Actinopteri; Cypriniformes; Danionidae
Exons: 4
Source: RefSeq, a predicted model, not a curated record
AGUACUCUAACCACUGGUCCAUGUCAAAGCAAAGGUAAAUUCAGACUCUCAAUCAGAGCAGCUUCCUAAUGCGUCCACAUUCAAAGACGAUGAAGAAAUGUUGGCUUCUAUGACUUUUGCAUCACCUCACCUCUCCGUGACUGCAGCUCAAGAUGACCAUGGGGAGUGCUGCAUGUGUUCACCUUCAACUUCUGGUUCACCUCAUCUUCCUGACUUGGUUUCUCAAGGUUUCCAUGUUUCAUGACGGCGGUGUGUGAAGGGACCAUGGUCUGAAGAGGAGAUACAAGCUGUGAUGAGGUCUUUUAUUGAAAAUAGUGUCAUUGUCACCAAUGAGCAGUGUCUGAAGGGCCAACAAAAGGAACAACCUAACUUAGGCCCCAUUUACACUAAUACGUUUUAGUUUUAAAACGCAUAAGUUUUGCUACGGUUUUCAAGCUCUGAAAACUGAGGUUUUUGAAAAUGCUGGAGAGGCUGUUUUCAUUUUUAAAACACUGCUGCUCCGUGUUAGUGUGGAUGGGGAAAACGGAGACAUCGGAAAACAGAUUGGGGCUUUUUCCUCAAUAUUAAGUAGCCGAUAAAGUUCAUUCUUAUAUCCUCUCCUUGUAGGCUCAGAGAAAACAAACUCCCGAGGACACGUCGGGUAAAUUUCUAAAGGAAACUGUGUACUUUAUAACCUCAUUCACAUCAUCCUGGCUACGGUGUUUCAUCUUAACAAUAAAAUGAAAACAUGAUAUAAGGAACUGCCUAUUUUCAUUUUAAUAUUAACUUAACAGACACCACAAAUGUUGAGGCGUAGAAUAGCUACAUAUUUAUAUGAUCGUCAUCUUCACCGUAUACAUAUUUAAAACAAAACGAACCCGCUAACAUAACUGACUCCUUUCAUUUUCAGUGAAAAUACGAAACGUGUUGUGUGUUACUAAUGACAAACGUACAUUAUUAUUUUCAAAAAUCUUUGCUUAAAUACAGAUGAGUUAAGUGUAGUAGUCAAAAAUAAUGAAAUCAACUACUGAGGUAAAUAUACUUGGUGGGACCACAGCAAGUUGCCAUCCUAUUCACAGUCUCCACAAAACAACAAAAGAGCAAGCAGUGUACUGUAUAACAUCAGUUCUGGCAGGUAACGUUAGUCAAGCUUGCAUCAGCUGACUGUUACCUCAUCACGUCUACCUAUAGGAAUAUGACCUUUAUCACAGCAUACAUAUAUUUAGCGCCUCAGUAUUAUCAUCUGCUAUCGCGUUCUCCAGAACUCAUUUACUCUCCUCCACCCCCAGCUCUUCCUCUUGUUCAGUCUGGAUUUAUUCAAAUUCCCCUUGAAUCAGUCUUAAGUCUAAAUUCAUGAAUUAUUUUGUACAUUUAUUACCAACAUGAUAUCUGCAAUACAUUGUUUGUUCUGUUCUGCUUACUUUUAGGGGGGUUAUUACUGGUCUCCCUGCUCUGUAUGCAUGGAGUUCUUACCCAGAACCAUACCACCAAUCCAAACUACAGGUGCUGGUCAUAAUUAGAAUAUCAUCAAAAAACUGAUUUAUUUCACUAAUUCCAUUCAGAAGUGAAGCUUGUAAAUGUAUGCAUUCAUUACACACACUAAGUAUUGGGUGCUGUGCAUGCUCAUACAUUUCAUCUUCAGACUUUUCCGUUGGCCAAGAUUUCUAAAACUCCUUUCUUUGUAUUGGUCUUAAGUAUUACUCAUUUUCUGAAUUUGGGGUUUUCAUUAGUUGUCAUCAAAAUGAAAAGAAUUAAA